RNAcentral lists this ribosomal RNA (468 nucleotides) under uncultured bacterium. RNAcentral describes it as "partial 16S ribosomal RNA". It matches the Rfam family "Bacterial small subunit ribosomal RNA", at positions 28 to 507 of the family's 1533-position model. The record is from RNAcentral.
GACGAACGCUGGCGGCGUGCUUAACACAUGCAAGUCGAGCGGAAAGGCCCGGCUCUUGUGGCGUGCGCGAGUGGCGAGCGCGUGUGUAUCACGCGAGUAACCUGCGCUUGUCUGCGGGAUAACAUCAGGAAACACGGGCUAAUACCGCAUAUAAACUCCUGCUGCACGGUGUGGGUUGGAGAGAGGCGGCGGUUGGGGAUGGACUCGCGGCUUAUGAGCUUGUUGGUGAGGUAGUGGCUUACCAAGGCUUUGACGGGUAGCCGGACUGAGAGUGUGACCGGCCCCAUUGUGACUGGGGUAGGGCCCAGACUCCUACGUGAGGCAGCGGUGGGAAACAGUGCACACUGGGCGGAAGCCUGAUGCAGCGACGCCGGGUGCGAGAUCACGGCUUUCGGGUUGUAAACCGCUUUCGCCUGUGACGAAGAGUUAGUGACGGUAACGGGUAAAGAAGCACCGGCUAACUACGUG